AUAAGUCCGGAGUUCUCCUCAGACCCGGUCUCCCAGGCUGUAGCGUAAGCUUCUCAGCACUCCGUGUCAAAAAACCCGUUGCUUUUCUGUGGCUUGUCCUUCGCCUCUCUUCACUAACUCCACGCAGCCUGACAGGGUUCGUGCCUCUUUAGAUCAGCCCUAGUGAACCUCUUUUAACUGUCCCGAGAAUCAUUAGAUGGACCUUCUGUGUUUAGUCUCACCUGAAAGAGCACAGGAAUAAUUAACGAACUAAUAUACGCGCAGAGCUUAACGAUUACCUUUGGCUCUCCAAAGCCUUGAUACCACCAGAGUGAAAGAAAUAUGGGAAAUCUUGUGACCUUGGACAGAAGGAGAAAGUGAUACCACGAAAAACGUGA
RNAcentral lists this long non-coding RNA (377 nucleotides) under Mus musculus (house mouse). RNAcentral describes it as "predicted gene, 56725". Lineage: Eukaryota; Metazoa; Chordata; Mammalia; Rodentia; Muridae. The record is from RNAcentral.